GGAAGUAUGCCCGAGAACAGGGACUACCUUGAUAGAGUAGACACAGGACCGCCGAUCCUUGCUUCCU
Molecule: non-coding RNA, 67 nt
Organism: Python bivittatus (Burmese python)
Lineage: Eukaryota; Metazoa; Chordata; Lepidosauria; Squamata; Pythonidae
Source: the annotation of a RefSeq genome assembly